RNA transcript from Triticum aestivum (bread wheat), 1636 nucleotides. RefSeq lists it as uncharacterized. The transcript has 2 exons. Lineage: Eukaryota; Viridiplantae; Streptophyta; Magnoliopsida; Poales; Poaceae. The record is from RefSeq and is a predicted model, not a curated record.
UCUUUCGACACAAGCGAAGCUAUGUCAGUUGGACACGCGCUCGGAAAUCCUAUCUACACCUCUCGCGCGGGUGACGGGUGUUAUUUGGCCCGACACUCUGCUCUCUCCCUCCAUCCAACCUUAUCUUCUCAGUCGGCUGCCCUCAACCUUGUCUUCCCCGGUCGCCCCCCACGCGUUCUUCUCCACAUACAUGCGCAGAACUCCCACAACGCCCACCCAUCCCCUCCCUCCUUCCCAGCUCUGGAUCCAGAUGGAAUCGAGGCCACAACCGAGCGUCUCCUCAUGGCCUCUUCACGAGCUCCAACUGCCGCCUGGAGCUCAAGCUGCCAGCCGUCCAAGGCCUCGCCAGGAACGGACCCGCGACACCGUGCCUCGUCCUCGCACAUGCCCGGCCGCGCCAUCGAGCCCCCCGCAGUGUAGAGGCAGUGCUCCGCCACCCGAUGCUGUUCUUCGCGUCGCCCCACGCUCCCAAAGCUGGGAACCGGCUCCCCGCCUCCAAGUUCUCGGCAUCGACGUCCCGUGCUGCCUGCACCCUCGCCAAGCCCGACUCGCAGCCGUGGAGCCCGAGCUCGCCAAGGCGCUUCAACUCCGCCGCCGCGCCAUCUUCUUCAGGCGCUCGAGCACGAGCACAAGCUCGCCCGCGCCCCACCUCUCUCUGCCGCUCCGUCCGCCGCCCGUGGUGCCGUGACCCGCCACUGCCGUGCCCUGCAUCGCUCUGUAGCCGCGCCGCCUGGGUCGAUGCGGUCAGCGCUCCCAAGCCGUUGACCCUGCGCCAGGGGACGACCAUUUCCUCCCAUGCGUGCGCGCCCGUGCUCCAGCCCUCCCCUCCCCAUGCUGCCGGCACACUCGCGCCACGGGGCCGUAUCCAGCCUGUGCCUGGACGACGGAAGCCCCCCCACUGUCCGUGCGCUCCGGCCAGCUCCCUGUCGCGCUCGAGACCUCCUCUAGUCUUCCCGCCGAGGCCUUCCCUGUGACCAGCCUUUGACUUGGGUCUCCUGUCCGCCUCGGCGCGGACGCCCGCCACGACGCCGGCGGCAAGCGGCGGCGCGUCCCGGCGAUGGAGAACGGCAGGAUAAGCGGCGAGACGCGUGGUGCUGAGCCAGUCAAUAAGGAAUAAGGGCCGCGGGCAUAGUUUCUAACAAAUUUAGGGGGUUUUACGCAAAAACGAAACGUUUUUCCGAAGUGCCACUUAAGCAGGGACUGCGGGUUAAUUUCAAAGAAACAGAGGGGCUUUUUCGCAAAAACGCCGACGACGUACGACCAGAAGCACUCCGUGCUUUAUUAGUAUAUAUAUAUAUAUAUACUAGCACAAAUAUCCGUGCGUUGCAACGGGAGACAAAAACCUCAAUUCACUAAUGAAAUGGCUCACAUCACCCGACAUGAUGACAUCAUCUUUGUAUAAUAUAACAGAGAAAAGUGUGGAGUUUGUGUCGCACAUAGUGACUCCGAGUCCGACUUGUGAGUCAAGCAGAAAAACAAGAGUAACGAUUUAUUUUGUUCUCAGAAUAAUAUAGCAUAUGACCAGUAAAAAAGGAAGACUUUUUAUUGUAAUUUAGACAUAGUUUUUUUGCGUGUGUUAUACAUAAUAUUUUUUCACUGGAGUUAAACAAUUUCGAUACGUCAAAUAUUAGUAUUA